AUUGAACGCUGGCGGCAUGCCUUACACAUGCAAGUCGAACGGCAGCACGGGAGCAAUCCUGGUGGCGAGUGGCGAACGGGUGAGUAAAGUAUCGGAACGUACCAUUCAGUGGGGGAUAACGUAGCGAAAGUUACGCUAAUACCGCAUAUUCUGUGAGCAGGAAAGCAGGGGAUCGCAAGACCUUGCGCUGAUUGAGCGGCCGAUAUCAGAUUAGCUAGUUGGUGGGGUAAAAGCUCACCAAGGCGACGAUCUGUAGCGGGUCUGAGAGGAUGAUCCGCCACACUGGAACUGAGACACGGUCCAGACUCCUACGGGAGGCAGCAGUGGGGAAUUUUGGACAAUGGGGGGCAACCCUGAUCCAGCCAUGCCGCGUGAGUGAAGAAGGCCU
This 388-nucleotide ribosomal RNA is filed under the name uncultured bacterium. Its description in RNAcentral is "bacterial SSU rRNA". It matches the Rfam family "Bacterial small subunit ribosomal RNA", at positions 30 to 417 of the family's 1533-position model. The record is from RNAcentral.